RNAcentral lists this long non-coding RNA (230 nucleotides) under Lathyrus oleraceus (garden pea). Its description in RNAcentral is "Pisum sativum (pea) long non-coding RNA (PSAT_LNC025487)". Lineage: Eukaryota; Viridiplantae; Streptophyta; Magnoliopsida; Fabales; Fabaceae. The record is from RNAcentral.
CAACUACUACUUCAACUGAUAUAUAAAAUGGGCUGCAAUCAACUUUGAAGUAUCAGCAAGCCAACAAGCCAAAAUUAUACUGAAACAUCAACGCUCAAGAAAAACACUCUUGCUCUCUAAAGAUCUUCACGAAGCUUUUGCUUAUAACGUGAAAAACUCUUGUUCUUAAUACUGUAAUAUUUGCUUUCUUAGAAGCACUCUAGAUUACAUAAAUCUUUUAUCUAUUGUUU